Non-coding RNA from Danio rerio (zebrafish), 5634 nucleotides. NCBI's taxonomy places the organism in Eukaryota, Metazoa, Chordata, Actinopteri, Cypriniformes, Danionidae. The record is from RefSeq and is a predicted model, not a curated record.
CAGUCUGGAUCAUGGAGGACACACGAGGAUUACAGCAGGACCACGCAAAUAUGCCUGUUUCCUCACUCUGGAUCCAAACACGACAUACGCUUUUCUCAUUCUGUCUGAGGAGAACAGAGAGGUGAAGCGUGUGAGAGAGUAUCAGCGGUAUCCUGAUCAUCCAGACAGAUUUGAUGAUGAUCCUCAGGUGUUGUGCAGAGAGAGUGUGUGUGGACGCUGUUAUUGGGAGAUUGACUGGAGUGGAGAUGAUGUGUGGAUAUCAGUGUCAUAUAAGAGCAUCAGGAGGAAGGGAGUAGAUCCUGAGUAUUUGUUCGGAUGUAAUGCUCAGUCCUGGAGUUUGCGCUGCUCUUCCUCCAGUUAUAUAUUUUGGCAAAAUGACACACGCACUGAUCUCCCAGUGAAACCGCUCAGCAGGAGAAUAGGAGUGUUUGUGGAUCACAGUGCAGGAACUCUGAUCUUCUACAACAUCUAUAGAGACACAAUGAGCCUCAUCCACUCAGUCCAGACCACAUUCACUGAGCCGCUCUAUCCUGGGUUUACUAUUUGGUGUCAAUCAUCAGUCAAACUGUGCUGAAGACUGAGAAGGAGCAGUCAGUAGCAGUGUGUGUGUGUGUGUGUGUGAGAGAGAGAGAGAGUGUUUGUUUGUGUAUGUGUGAAAGAGCAUGUGUGUGCGAGUGUGUGUGUGUGUUUGAGUGUGUGCAUGAGUGUAUGUUUGUCUGUGUGGGAUUUUUUUUUCUACAAAAAUACUUUCUUACAUCAUUUUUUUUUUGACACAUUGUAACUCCACAUCAGAUGUAACAGCAGCUCUCCUACCUCCACACUGCAGACAGCGUCCUUAUAACAGCACUGUUGUUCAAAGGUUUCAGCAUCAUUUAUGGCCUUGUAAUACUUUAAAUCUAUUUUAAUUCUGGACCUGACGAACGCUUUAAAACUCUCAAUCUCUUGACCAUGUACAUCAGGGGUGUCAAACUCAAUUCCUGGAGGGCCGAAGCCCUGUACAGUUUAGUUCCAACCCUGCUCCAACACACUUACCUGUAGGUUUUAAACAAGCCUGAAGGACUCAAUUAGUUUGAUCAGGUGUGUUUAAUUAGGGUUGGAACUAAACUGUGCAGAGCUGCGGCCCUUUUGCAACUGAGUUUGACACCUGUGAUGUACAUCAUCUAUUUAGUUUCUUCUUGUGAUAAGUAGAGCAAGUUUUGCUUGAGCAACUAAACAGUGAAUGAACUGCUAUUUCAGUUUGUGUUUCUGACUAUAGCCAACUCCAGAAGAAACUUACAUUGAGUCAAAUUCUCUCCACAUUUCAGGAAAACUCUGCUCAACAUAUCAAACUAUUGUGUUAAACGUGUACAGUCUCUCUAUGUCCACAGAAGAGACACUCGUCAUGGACACUAUAGAGUGAACAACACGUAUGAAAUCAUUCACUGCCACAAUCCCCUGCAGAAUCCUCCAUUGUAAAUCCCCAACACAUUUUGUCAAAGUUGGUUUAUACAAAACUCUCCACACUGGUUUUCCCCCUAAAGUAUCAUGAAAUGUCCGUUAUUUCUGUUAAUCUGCCUUUGUCACCUCUCUGAUCCGUAAUAAUAAUAAUAAUAAUCAUAAUAUUAGACAUUUGUUUGGACAUGAUGUGCUCUCUUCAACAAGCAGCUUUUCUCUUCAUUCUGCAGGCUGUUCGCUCUGGCAGUUGGUCAGAUAUUUGUAAGCAAGCCUAUAAUAAAAAGCAGAGUUAUUCUGCAGUCAGGUGAUGUGCUCCAUCAGGCACAACAAUCUUGAUAGUAUCUUGUAGUGUGCUGUGCCGCAGUUUUCAUAUCUUGUAGUAACAUAUUUUUAAAAGUGUACUGAUUAUAUUUUUAAAUUUAGCCUACAUAAUUAGGCACAAUUUAAACUUUCAAAACAUCAUGUUUUUCCCACCUCGGGCAUUAAAGCCUUUAUAUUAUUUUCUCUUUUAUUCUUAAUUGGGCAGCCAUUAUUCUCAACCCUGUAAUAGACUAAACUGAGUUGGUAAUAGUAUUUUACAAAGCUUUUGCUAUAACACCAACAUUUCCCUGUUGCUCAUAUGUCCCUCAAAUCAGUUUAAUGGCUAAAACAUCACAUUUUUAAUGAGUUUUAGAUUCAUAUGUGAUUUAAGUUACAAUUAUACAUACUUGUGCAUUCUGUGGUCUCUUAAUUUUUUAAAAAGUUUUACAUUUAGAUGUCUUACCCCACCCACAUAAUUACAAUGUUAGGCCUUAACAUGCUGGUUGGUUCUCAGCAAUAUUUUUUUCUAUAUUUAAUUGUUUUCCUUUAAAAAUAUGAAUCUCACAGGGUGGAGAAUACAGUGACGGGUUUAAGACCAUAACAGGGUUAAGAGGACACUUAAAUUUCAGUUUUAAUUUGUUUUAGUUCAUUUGAAAUUACAUCUAACACUUACUUAACAUUUAUUUUAGUAAAACAUUUAGCAAAGGCAUUAAUGAGAUAAAGGCAAACCGGGAUGAAAUGAAACUUCAUUAAACCAAACCACAGUCAGAAUUCAAAAAAUUGAAGUGCUGCAGGUAACUGGACUGUUAGUAACCUUUAAAAAUGCUGAUAAAGGCCUGUGUUACCCAAUCUAUUGCUGAACAGAACCUACAGUAAACAGAAGCAACAGGUAAAGUCUUGUCUAAAACUUUAUUUCCUGGAACAUAAAUAAAAACUGCAGCAGAAAAGUUCUUGAUGAAAUUAUUAAUGAAAAUACUUAAUAAUAUUAAUUAAAAAUAAAAUUAUAUAGCCAGAUAGGCUGAUCUGCUUAUUUCAGAAACUGCUGAUCUAUUGGGAUUUUCACACACAACAAUCUUUAGGAGAGAAAAUUAUAUAGUGAGCAACAGUAACUGAAAUAACCACUCGUUACAACUGAGGACUGCAGAGGAGCAUCUCUGAACACACAAAACCACACUUCCAACCCUGAGGUGGAUGGGCAGCAGGAGGGGAUUCAAUCAGGGAUUCCAAAACCUUUUGUUUGCCUAACCCUCUGUAUCUAUAAUAUUAAUACGAGUUAUGCCCUCAAUGACCCCCUCUCUAAAGUUGGGUAAUUGUCACAUGACAUAGAGAUAAACAAAUGAACUAAUACAUAAUUUAAGUAUUUUUUUGUUCUGAUUUUAUUAGCUUUACAUAAACUCAUGAUGAAACUCGUGACACUCAAUAUAAAAUCUGCUGCUGGUACGGGUGCCGUGUUUGACAUUAAAUAGUGUCAAAGUUUAAGUAAAACACAGCUUCAAAUAUUCUAUCAGUAACAAUUUUUAAAAAAAAUGUUUUUAAUGAAUAUUCCUGAUUAAUUAGGUCAAUAUACCCAAAACAAUGACAUGUGUGAUGGGGUUGAGUUUUUAAAGCAGAAUGUCCUCUGCUCCUUGUGUGGUUUAAAAGAGAAUGCCCACAUGGCAGCAAUUAAACAAGAAUAUGUUAUAUUGUUUGGAAAUAAAAAAAACAAUCAUAUUCCAUCUUAGUUUUACGUUACGGGGUUGAAUUGUUAAGCUUGACCGCAUCCUUCCUAACUAUAAUAAAAUCAAAAAAUGUAAAUAAAUGAAAAUAUAGCUUCUUUUGCACCAUGCUGAGAAAGAGAGCUGAAUGAUGUCACUUUCCAUCUGGAUGUCAUAUAAGAGUAGGGUCUGAAUUGCUGUAGGUGGAGAAUUGCUGGUGUGACAGGGUUGAGUUUAUAUUGAGGGACAUAACUUUGUAGCCUGUUUUUUAUUAAAAAAUCUUAUUUAUUUUUUAUUUAUCACAAGUAAAUAACACAAAUAAAUAGCUGUAAUACAAAAAAAAAUUUAAACACUGUGUCUACAUGCAAUUUCAAAGAAGUGCCUCGGGGGCAUGACAAAUAGCUUGGUUUGUGACAGACAUAUUAUAUUUUUUAUGCUAAAGCUGCAUUUAAUGUAUUUUUUUAUUCAUUAUAAUGUACAAAGUAGAUCAAUGAAAAAUGCUUUUAACAUGUCAUUUAAGUCGACAACCACUAUAAAAAAAUAUGGGGGACUGAAAUAUUACAGAACGCCAGGAAUGACUUAAUUAUAUCUAAGAUAAUUUUGUAAAACAAUAUGUUUUGUUAAAUGUAUAAUGUAUAAAUAGUUCCAUCACAUCAGCUGAGGCAAAAAGCAAUAAUGCAGCCAUUUCUUCUUGUAGUGUUGAUGUGGCUGUUUUGAAAGAAUUUGUGUGAAAGGCAUCAGGAACUUCUGGGAACUGCACAACUCUGUGUAAUGUUUUCACACUUCCAUGUGUCGAUUUUAUUUCUCAAUCAUUUUUACAUUCAUUAAUUUUAUCAGCCUUCAUUGUGAUCAUUUUCUCUUUAUUGGUUAUACCUCACAAUCACAAACAGUCACAACUGGUUCCAUUCUUUUGAAUUGUGUGGGUUAUUGAGCCAGGCCUCCAUUCGAUUCCUGAUUUUGCUCCGCGAGCAAAGGGCAGGAGUGGGCGUGUCCAGCAGGGGAGAAGGAGGGCAGAGAACAACUGUUGUCAGUUAGCUCACAGAAUGAAACACGUGAUUUUAUAGUUUAUAAAGUUAAAAUGCAAAGAAAUAAACAGUAAUGUAAUGCCCGGCUACAUUUGUUAUUCGUAAUUUCAUAUACACUUAACCACAAUUUAUAUCAUUAUAAAGAUAAUCAUGUUCAUAUAAACUCUAUAAUUGAAGACUUUUCCCUUAAUCCCCUUGUCUGAACCAUAGGUCUGAAUGCAGGCUCAGUGCAGCAGGCCUCUUGCCCUGUCUAUUUCAACCAUUAGCCCAGUUGGUAAUCUAGAGGAUUUAGGCGAACACAACAGCACGGCGAUGUGUCUAAAUGUGAACAAACUCCUGAUAAAAGACAAUGUCCGCCAUUCUCCAAUUCUCGUACUGCUCUUCCGUCAAAAAUGCUUGCUGCACACACAGCUUUGCUGUAUUGGCCCUGACAGGAUCUUAGGGAAAAACAUGCAACAAACACUGUGGAUCAUGAUAACAAACACAUACGAGCCUUCAUAAACGGUGUGAUGGUUGAUGGGUCAGAUGACAUUAAUCAUAUGAGACACAAAAAAAUCACUGAUGUAUUCUGAUAUUCCUAUGCGUAAAAGUACAACUCUUAACGAUGAAAUGAAACGUAAGAGAAAGAAAAGGCGACUCCGACAGAGGGUGCGCCGAGCCAACAAAUCAGCUGGACGAACUCUCUGUGAACCCCUUGCUACUUCAGAUGACCCUCUUGCUAGUAGUCGAACUCUGAAUGAACUCCCAACUUGUACUUUUGCUGAACUUUCUACCGAGUUCACGCACCUGAAUUUAAGUGCAUAACUAUAUAGCACAUUAUAAAUCAAGGCUUAUAUUAAAAUGCCUAAAUGUUGAUUUAUAUGAUACAAUGUACUCUUGAUGACUAUAUAUCUGUCUUUUUACUGUUCAAGUGAUUUAGCAUGCUCCUUGAAUGUAUGAUUUAAGUAGUCUGUGCACCUGUGUUUAGGGUUGAUUUAUGAAUACUGUCACUGAGACACUGAGUAUAAAAGCUGACAUGUACUCUUCAGCUUUGCGCUUCCUGACUUCUGUUCAUUGAGGUUGGUUGCCCUUUGUCCGCCAACUGGGGACAAAGUAAGGAUUUUGUUUUCUGUUUGUCUUUUGUUUAUUCUACUUUUUCACUGGAUUUUGUUUUAUUAAUAAAAGUGUAUUUUAUUACUUUU